Molecule: long non-coding RNA, 503 nt
Organism: Arachis duranensis
Lineage: Eukaryota; Viridiplantae; Streptophyta; Magnoliopsida; Fabales; Fabaceae
Exons: 3
Source: RefSeq, a predicted model, not a curated record
CGCGUUGACGUCACCGGAAGCUGCUGUUGGAGACUCUGCAAGUUUGCCCUAGCUCGGCUUUGCUUCUACCUGUUCUGUCCUUGCCGGUGGGGGGUCACCGGAGCUGCUGAUGCUCCAUCCUCUUCUUUCCUUUGGGCUGUUGUUGAGGUUGCUGCAGUGAGAAAUCGAAGUUGUUGCUACUACCUUGGUCCAAAUUUCGUGCUCUUUCAUUCCAUUCUACUUCAACCUUCCUCACCUUUUAUUGUGGCACUCUGGUUUGGUUUCUUCGGUUCCUUGGGACUAAUUUGAAUAAAUAUUUGAUUAGGUGAGCCUUUCUAUUCAAGAGUAAUGAUCUGCAAUGGGUAUCUAUUCGUUGUUGAGUUCUUAGGCGUCAUCUGCUCCAUAUGUCACAGGCAGGAUCCACCCAUAUUUAUUUUAUUUUUGUUUGUUAAAAAUAUGUAAUUAUUCAUUUUAGACAUUAUAAAUUUAUUUAAAAUGUUUGUAAUUUUCUUAUUCAACUUACA